RNAcentral lists this ribosomal RNA (314 nucleotides) under uncultured eukaryote. RNAcentral describes it as "partial 18S ribosomal RNA". It matches the Rfam family "Eukaryotic small subunit ribosomal RNA", at positions 1470 to 1796 of the family's 1831-position model. The record is from RNAcentral.
CCCUUAGAUGUUCUGGGCCGCACGCGCGCUACAAUGGCAGACUCAGCGAGUUACCUCUGUCGAAAGGCACAGGGAAUCUUUACAGUAUCUGCCGUGAUGGGGAUAGACCCUUGUAAUUUUUGGUCUUCAACGAGGAAUUCCUAGUAAACGCAAGUCAUUAACUUGCAUUGAUUACGUCCCUGCCCUUUGUACACACCGCCCGUCGCACCUACCGAUUGAAUGGUCCGGUGAAGUCCUCGGACCCAGUUGAACCUCGAGUUGAACAGGGAAAGUUGACUAAAUCUUACCAUUUAGGGGAAGGUGAAGUCGUAACA